CUGAGAAUCAGAAUUCCUCUCCUCAUGGGGACUCUGUGUGCAGUGAUUGCAAACAGCAGCCUGCUUUGUCGUGCUUGUAGCCUGUUGUUUGUAGGGGUUGCUCCAUAAGGGACCUUGGUGACAGUU
Small nucleolar RNA from Castor canadensis (American beaver), 126 nucleotides. Its record names the gene SNORA70. It matches the Rfam family "Small nucleolar RNA SNORA70". Rfam says of the family: snoRNA U70 seems to be exclusive to mammals and is a member of the H/ACA class of snoRNA which contain H (ANANNA) and ACA box motifs. The record is from Ensembl. NCBI's taxonomy places the organism in Eukaryota, Metazoa, Chordata, Mammalia, Rodentia, Castoridae.